This is a long non-coding RNA of Caretta caretta (loggerhead turtle), 1326 nucleotides long. RefSeq lists it as uncharacterized. NCBI's taxonomy places the organism in Eukaryota, Metazoa, Chordata, Testudines, Cheloniidae. The record is from RefSeq and is a predicted model, not a curated record.
CAGAAGUAGCCUUAUUAGCCAGGGAUAAAAGUAAUCCCCUGCAGUUAUAGUUUAGCAGUGUCCAGAGAAGGGACGUGAACUAUACCAGAGGCAAUGAAAUCCCCUCUUCAAUCAAAGACUGGGCUCAGUCCAGAAAUCUUUUAAGCAUUGGACCUUUAAAGAUUUGCAAGUGAAAUCCAGAGGUUUUGUUCAGUUCUGAGCAGAAUGACUAUAAACCUUCAUCAUCCCAACAAUGGGUCAGAAUGCCUCAGCUGGAGUAAACUGGAGUUGUUCCGUUGACUUCAACAGAGUUAAACCAAUUUAUAUCUGCUGAGAAACUGGAUCAAUAAGUAUGGAAGCCUGUCUGUUUGGACUCAAGUGGUGUGUGAACAAGCCUUGAAUUAUCCAACGCUGAAAUCUGCAGUAGAUCACUGACUGUGAAAAUUGCCUACGACAGAGUAAAAAACUCCCGACGGGUCCAAUUUUGCAAAAAAUGAGUAAAGCUUAAGAAAAAGGGCUUUGCUCAGGUGAAACCACAUGGCUGGAGCUGAGGGAAAGGAAUCUUCUGUCCCAGUGAAUGCUGCAGGACCUGACCAUGUCACCGGACUGGAACUCAAGACAGCAACAUUGUCCCACAACUAACCAGGCGGAGAGAAAAAAAUUAGCUGAUACUUUGCAGCAAACGUUUGAAGUGAAAUUCAAGUAGCAGCCUGAGGCUCACAACUUCAAGUUUUGGUGGGUGUUGGCACAGACAUGGGAAGAGGUUUGUAUAAGUUCCCCCAAUGAAAGUAAGGAAAACACCUUAUCGACUAUAUUCUGAAGGUCAAUAAACUUGGGCCUUGGUGGAUCACCAAAGACAGCAGUCCUUCACUGAAGGCACACAUUUUCUAUGGUCCACAAGACAAAACAUGUGGGGAUUCAACCUCUGAAACAGUGCAUAGGGAAAGAGGCAGUCCCUCAAAUAGUGAAGUCCACACUCAUAUGAGUGUUUGUCAAUUAGGACCAAAAACAUCUUCAGUUUCACCCAGAAGGUGGGAAGGAGAUUAAUGGAACACAGGGCAAAACAGAUAAGCAUGGACUUGAUGGGACUCUCUGUAGAAGUAAGGGGCCACCCAUGUGGAUCCAUUUGUGAGAUCAGGGGCUUAUAUGCAAAUAAGAAUUUGUGAAAUGUUUGCUUGUGUGUCCAUUCAAUGUUUGUUCAUUCUGCUUCAUAUGCAUGUUGUGUCAUAUUAUUUGACUAAAAAGUUUCAAUUAAAAAUACAUUUCUUCUUAAUGCGGCUGGAAUACUGGGAAGUCCUGUAAAUUGCUAUGAAUCCUUUGAAUAGAAUAAACAUGUUGUGCAAAAUC